Molecule: ribosomal RNA, 392 nt
Filed under: Porphyromonas endodontalis
Lineage: Bacteria; Pseudomonadati; Bacteroidota; Bacteroidia; Bacteroidales; Porphyromonadaceae
Description: bacterial SSU rRNA
Rfam family: Bacterial small subunit ribosomal RNA
Source: RNAcentral
UAUUUUAGCUUGCUAAGAUAGAUGGCGACCGGCGCACGGGUGCGUAACGCGUAUGCAACCUGCCUGUAAUUAGGGAAUAACCCGGUGAAAGUCGGACUAAUACCCUAUAUUCAUCUUUCUCCGCAUGGAGAGGGAUGGAAAGAUUUAUUGAUUACAGAUGGGCAUGCGUCCCAUUAGCUAGUUGGUAAGGUAACGGCUUACCAAGGCAACGAUGGGUAGGGGGACUGAGAGGUUGACCCCCCACACUGGUACUGAGACCUGGACCAGACUCCUACGGGAGGCAGCAGUGAGGAAUAUUGGUCAAUGGGCGAGAGCCUGAACCAGCCAAGUCGCGUGAAGGACGACGGUUCUAUGGAUUGUAAACUUCUUUUGUAGAGGAAUAAUGGCACGCU